Molecule: long non-coding RNA, 684 nt
Filed under: Homo sapiens (human)
Lineage: Eukaryota; Metazoa; Chordata; Mammalia; Primates; Hominidae
Description: non-protein coding lnc-REG1B-1:1
Source: RNAcentral
CUCUGACUCUUCAUUCAUAUCCAUGCCACCUUGUUCUCUGCCAUGACUAGCUGAUACCUAAAUCUUCUAGACAAAAUGAUCCCAUUUUCUUCACCUGUGUUAUCCACCUAAAAUCAAAGGGAGACAAAGUCCAGGAAGCCCUGAAGAAGGUUGCAGAAAUUGAGGGUCUCCACCCAAUCCCACCAUCAGACCGCAUCACCUCUGUUUGGAAUCUUGUCCAAGUUGGUACCCAUUGAAACCGUUUUUCUGACUGAUAUUUAAGUCUGUGAGGAAAGGCUUUGCUGUGUUUCCUCUGCAGAGAAAGUGCCCAGGUAACAGAGAUGACUCAAAAUCAUGUACAUUAGCAGUCAGAUCAGACAAACCAAAGCCUCACGGUGUGCCCACGUCGGAACUCCUUCUCCUAGCAUUUUUCUGGGUCAGCCUGGAUUGAGACACACUGGCCUUUAGAACUUGAAUAAAAUGCCGUUUCACUCAUUGCCAUCUUCGAUAGUUGGUAGAAGGUGAUUGCAGUUCCAAGUGGUGUCACCAUUUUAGUGAGUGCAUUGUGAAGGGAUAAGUAAGCAGAGAUGCAAAACCUCUUCCACUUCUUUUCCAUGAAGCACAGCUUUCAGAAGAAUUGAACUAUAGUAAAUGGCAGAGAGUCUAGCACAAUUAAGUAUUUCUAAACCAGGACUGAAAAUGAAG